This 266-nucleotide ribosomal RNA is filed under the name uncultured prokaryote. Its description in RNAcentral is "partial 16S ribosomal RNA". It matches the Rfam family "Bacterial small subunit ribosomal RNA", at positions 524 to 788 of the family's 1533-position model. The record is from RNAcentral.
UACGUAGGUGGCGAGCGUUAUCCGGAAUUAUUGGGCGUAAAGAGCGCGCAGGUGGUUGAUUAAGUCUGAUGUGAAAGCCCACGGCUUAACCGUGGAGGGUCAUUGGAAACUGGUCGACUUGAGUGCAGAAGAGGGAAGUGGAAUUCCAUGUGUAGCGGUGAAAUGCGUAGAGAUAUGGAGGAACACCAGUGGCGAAGGCGGCUUCCUGGUCUGUAACUGACACUGAGGCGCGAAAGCGUGGGGAGCAAACGGGGAUUAGAUACCCU